Molecule: ribosomal RNA, 441 nt
Filed under: uncultured bacterium
Lineage: Bacteria
Description: bacterial SSU rRNA
Rfam family: Bacterial small subunit ribosomal RNA
Source: RNAcentral
CCUACGGGAGGCUGCAGUGGGGAAUCUUGCGCAAUGGACGAAAGUCUGACGCAGCCACGCCGCGUGGAGGAUGACGCAUUACGGUGUGUAAACUCCUUUUCUGGAGGAAGACGACUGACGGUACUCCAGGAAUAAGCGACGGCUAACUACGUGCCAGCAGCCGCGGUAAUACGUAGGUCGCAAGCGUUAUCCGGAUUUACUGGGCGUAAAGCGUCCGCAGCUGGUUUGGUAAGUUCGCUUUUAAAUAUCCUGGCUCAACCAGGAAAAGGGAGCGAAUACUGUCAUACUAGAGUUAGAUAGGGGGUAGUAGAAUUUCAGGUGGAGGGGUGAAAUCCGUUGAUAUCUGAAGGAAUACCAAAAGCGAAGGCAGCUACCUAUAUCUAUACUGACGGUCAUGGACGAAAGUCUGGGUAGCGAACGGGAUUAGAUACCCCAGUAGUC